UGAACUGAGAUGAGCAGAGUCUGGUGCACU
This 30-nucleotide non-coding RNA is filed under the name Homo sapiens (human). The record is from RNAcentral. Lineage: Eukaryota; Metazoa; Chordata; Mammalia; Primates; Hominidae.